RNAcentral lists this long non-coding RNA (860 nucleotides) under Fukomys damarensis (Damara mole-rat). RNAcentral's name for it is "lncRNA (ENSFDAG00000032013.1)". The record is from RNAcentral. Lineage: Eukaryota; Metazoa; Chordata; Mammalia; Rodentia; Bathyergidae.
GGCCCCGCCCCGAGGCCCCGGGGACCUACCCGGCCCUACCAGGGCUCAACUUGGGAAACCCGGGCUUGCCUUGACCUGGCCGGGCUAGUGCGCCGCCUUGCCUCUGGGCCGUUUACCCUGCACCCCAGCGCCCGCAGGUCCUCACUAGGGGUGGGAGGGCAACUGGAAAGGACAGCGCCUCGGAACAGUCACCGAUCUUGAGCUUUAACCACUACGGGAAGCCCACCGGAAGGCACCCGUUGGUCACCUUGCUCCUGCCUCGUCCUCCCAAACUCUCAUGGCAGCCUGGAUCCUUAAAAUACCAGAUCUGUCCCCUGCUCCUCUGCUGUUCCCACUCUGCUCGAAACCCUCCUCAUCCUCCCAGCCUCCCGCAGAAUAAAUGCCAUCCCUUGUUCAGCACAUGGGCCUCGGUGAACUUACUGUCCCCUGCUGCACCCCGGUGUUCCGGGAGUCUCAACCUUUGCACUUGCCAGUUCACCCAGGAAAAGAGCCCCCUGAGUUCCUUGCCCGAAUUCAAACACCCUCCAAAGAGAUCUUUCUUAGAGUCCUCUUCCUAAUUUAGUCUUUAUUAUGUCUUUCUGAUCAGCUCAGGAGUUUUGAACUGCACCCUCUCGGACCUGAGCCAGUUGAAACCUUUCUUUAGUCAGCCUGGUUGGUCCUCACUCCCAGGAGGCCAUCAUAUUGAUGUUAGACUUAGUGCAACCCCUGAUGGGUAUAGCACACCAUAGCUCCCAACUCCUGAGCUAAGUAAUCUUUCUGCCUCAGCCUCCCAAGUAGCUGCGAAAAGCAAGCACUGUGUGCCCAGCUGAUUAACCUUUCUGAAGUUCAAUUUCUUCCAGUGCAAAUGAGUAUACUCAUUA